UACGGGGGGGGCAAGCGUUGUGCGGAAUUACUGGGCGUAAAGGGCUCGUAGGUGGUCAACUAAGUCGGACGUGAAAUCCCUCGGCUUAACCGGGGAACUGCGUCCGAUACUGGAUGACUUGAGUUCGGGAGAGGGAUGCGGAAUUCCAGGUGUAGCGGUGAAAUGCGUAGAUAUCUGGAGGAACACCGGUGGCGAAGGCGGCAUCCUGGACCGACACUGACGCUGAGGAGCGAAAGCCAGGGGAGCAAACGGG
This 253-nucleotide ribosomal RNA is filed under the name uncultured bacterium. RNAcentral describes it as "partial 16S ribosomal RNA". It matches the Rfam family "Bacterial small subunit ribosomal RNA", at positions 524 to 776 of the family's 1533-position model. The record is from RNAcentral.